Molecule: long non-coding RNA, 251 nt
Filed under: Prunus persica (peach)
Lineage: Eukaryota; Viridiplantae; Streptophyta; Magnoliopsida; Rosales; Rosaceae
Description: long non-coding RNA (PPER_LNC003958)
Source: RNAcentral
UCUGAAACUGGAAGUGCUUUCACUGCCAAAAUCUCAGAUCGGCUAAAGCCCAUGGCAACCUCCUCCGACAAGCCCCCGCCAGCUCCUUCACCGACCUCCGUCAAGCCCGAGACGCCGGGAUCCGCCACUCCACGUCAAACCCAACCGAGCCCGAGCGCCGACGCUAACGUCAUCCUCGUCCCCAGCUACUCCAGCUGGUUCUCGCCGGACCAUAUCCACCACUGCGAGGUCCGGUUCCUCCCGGAGUUCUU